Molecule: unclassified non-coding RNA, 214 nt
Filed under: plant metagenome
Description: partial contains small subunit ribosomal RNA, internal transcribed spacer 1, and 5.8S ribosomal RNA
Rfam family: Eukaryotic small subunit ribosomal RNA (bases 1-54)
Source: RNAcentral
GGAAGUAAAAGUCGUAACAAGAUUUCCGUAGGUGAACCUGCGGAAGGAUCACUAACGAGUAAAUUCCUUCGGGUCUUUCUUAUCCAAACACCUGUGAAAAUUAAUUUUUGCUUUGGGAAUUUAAUUAUUCCCAACAAUCAAAACCACUAAGUUGUCUUUCGUCUGAAUGAUUAUUUAAAAAUCAAAACUUUCAACAACGGAUCUCUUGGUUCUC